RNAcentral lists this ribosomal RNA (491 nucleotides) under uncultured bacterium. RNAcentral's name for it is "partial 16S ribosomal RNA". It matches the Rfam family "Bacterial small subunit ribosomal RNA", at positions 29 to 506 of the family's 1533-position model. The record is from RNAcentral.
AGUGAACGCUGGCGGUAGGCCUAACACAUGCAAGUCGAACGGCAGCACAGUAAGCGCUUUCUCUUACGGGUGGCUAGUGGCGGACGGGUGAGGAAUACAUCGGAAUCUACUUUUUCGUGGGGGAUAACUUAGGGAAACUUACGCUAAUACCUCAUACUACCUACGGGUGAAAGUAUAUUAUCUUCGGACCUUUCGCGCUUUAAUGAGCCGAUGUCGGAUUAGCUAGUUGGCGGGUUAAAGGCCCACCCAGGAGUCGAUCCGUAGCUGGUCUGAGAGGAUGAGGAGACACACUGGAACAGAGACACGGUACAGACCCAUACGAGAGGGAAGAAGGGAGAAUAUUGGAAAAGGGGCGAAAGCGUGAGACAGCCAUAGCGCGUGGGAGAAGAAUGUCUUCAGGUUAUAAAGCCGUUUUAAGGGGAAAGAAAAGCAGAAGGUGAAAACUCCGCUGUGCUGACGGUACCCACAGAAUAAGCACCGGCUAACUUCGU